Astatotilapia calliptera (eastern happy) is the source of this 1201-nucleotide long non-coding RNA. NCBI's taxonomy places the organism in Eukaryota, Metazoa, Chordata, Actinopteri, Cichliformes, Cichlidae. The record is from Ensembl.
UGGAAGUUCUAAAGCUACUUCAGACCGCUCACCAAACAAACCAUUUAUUCCCCACUCAGAUGGCAACUCUAAAUCUCUGGGCUCCCAUUGACCUGGAACUGGGCCUCAACACAAUACUGAAAGACUCCUUUGAGAGGGCCAGUACGGCAAGCAGGAGUAGGAGGGGUCUGAGGGCAAGGAAGCCAGGCUGGGGCAUUACAAGUUGAGGGUCCCUUAGCUCCUGUUUCCCAGCUUAGAGUGAUAGGCGCAGGGAGAUGAAAGACCCUCAAGCUCUGUGAAUUGAGCUCUAGACAGGUCUCACAAAACUAGAUGUGCUAACAGAGGGCCUCCUUCAAAACUUCAGAAUGCCUCCUUUCAAUUGGCAGGCCUAUUGUCUUUCUUUAGAAAGGCAGUGUUUGACUUCUGGAGGACAAUGCGGUGGAUACAUGGAUUUGCUGUGGCUCAGUUGAAGGCUUUAUCUGGGAGGGUUGAAGCUAUAAUGAGAUUACAAAUUCAACUUUGUCCUCUUCAUGCAGUAGCUUUGGCUUAGAGUUUAAGUGAUGUAACCACAGAAGCAACAAACAAGAUGUCAAUAUUCGGUUAACGGCUCAGCUUUUAAUACCGAGGUGCUUUUUUUUUUUUUUAAUCAAGAAGACAAAUUGGUAAAGGUGCUGCUUGUUGAAGUUGCUUCUGCACUCCAAGUUAAUAUGGCUAUAUAUUGAUGUUAAAAAUGUAUCUGUUGACUUAGGCAGGAUUAGGAACAUGUUCAAAUCAAAUGCUGGAUUUCCAGUGGCAUUGGAAACCAUCUUUCCAGACACUUAUAAACAAGGUAGGAAGUCACUGUGUUGACGGUUUACUUUAACAUUCAUUGUUAAACCGUGAAUGGUAUGUAACAAGAAGCAUGAUUACUAUGUUGUGCAGAGGUUAAAGUCUUUCUAACAUCUUUUUUUAUUUGUUAGUUUGUUAUUUUUUGCGAUGCUGUUAUGUGCACUGCUUAAUGCAACCCUAUCGAUCCUUUUCUGAUCACACCUUUAACUGAAAUUUUCAUGGUCAGGUUAUGGUUGAAGGAAAACUAGUUUUGUGUAGUAGUAAAGGUUGGUAAAAUGAGUUUUCCACUGUGGUAAACUGCAGCUGCUUAAGUUUGCUGAAAAAAUGCUGUGCUAAGCAGUCUUAAUGUAGAAACAUGUCAUGUUUCGCUGCUUAGUUGCCAUUUAUAUUUACA